GAUGAACGCUGGCGGCGUGCCUAAUACAUGCAAGUCGAGCGAACAGACGAGGAGCUUGCUCCUCUGACGUUAGCGGCGGACGGGUGAGUAACACGUGGAUAACCUACCUAUAAGACUGGGAUAACUUCGGGAAACCGGAGCUAAUACCGGAUAACAUGUUGAACCGCAUGGUUCAACAGUGAAAGACGGUCUUGCUGUCACUUAUAUAUGGAUCCGCGCCGCAUUAGCUAGUUGGUAAGGUAACGGCUUACCAAGGCAACGAUGCGUAGCCGACCUGAGAGGGUGAUCGGCCACACUGGAACUGAGACACGGUCCAGACUCCUACGGGAGGCAGCGGUAGGGAAUCUUCCGCAAUGGGCGAAAGCCUGACGGAGCAACGCCGCGUGAGUGAAGAAGGUCUUCGGAUCGUAAAACUCUGUUAUUAGGGAAGAACAAAUGUGUAAGUAACUAUGCACGUCUUGACGGUACCUAAUCAGAAAGCCACGGCUAACUACGUG
This 497-nucleotide ribosomal RNA is filed under the name uncultured bacterium. RNAcentral's name for it is "partial 16S ribosomal RNA". It matches the Rfam family "Bacterial small subunit ribosomal RNA", at positions 28 to 507 of the family's 1533-position model. The record is from RNAcentral.